This 1272-nucleotide long non-coding RNA is filed under the name Prunus persica (peach). RNAcentral's name for it is "long non-coding RNA (PPER_LNC004187)". Lineage: Eukaryota; Viridiplantae; Streptophyta; Magnoliopsida; Rosales; Rosaceae. The record is from RNAcentral.
AGAAAGAGGGUGAGUAAGUAGAGAGAAAAAUAGAGUGGAGAGAAAUUUCUCCAAGAGAGAAAAAUUAGUGAGCCACAUAUAUUGUAAACACUAAAGUUGUAGCCCUAUUAUUUUACAUAGUGGAAAAGUUACUACUGCUGCUCUCCGAGGACGUAGGCAUAGCCGAACCUCGUUAAAUACUGUGUCUCAUUUACUUUACGUGCAGCUCAAUAUUCAUACAUAUUCCAGGUUAUUUUUAUAACACGUUAUCAGCACGAGAAGCUCUCAGGUAUAAUUUUUGUGCUGCACUAUUAUCUAUACUACUAACCACUAACAAAAAUGGACCCUUGGUAAUACUAAACAUAUUAUCAGUGGGAGACCGUUACUAAUACUAACUUUUUCUUAUUUUAUUCGGUGGUGGUUUUAACCCCACAUUUAUUUACUGUAUGGUGUAGGUUUAUUACCCAUACAUGCACCUUUACUUUAUCGCAAAUUUAUUUUACCGCAUAUUUAUUUUAUUUACUGUAUGGUGUAGGUUUAUUACCCAUACAACAGUAUUUAUUUAAAAGGGUGGUGCGGGUUUAUCGUCCACGCCUUUGCUUUUAUUUAAAUAUAUGGAGCAGAAUUAGUGCCCAUACAAGCACAAUUUACUUUACCGCACAUUUAAUUUUAUUUAAAGUAUGGUGCGAGAUUAACGUCCAUACAGCAAGCAAUUUAAUUUAUGAAUUUAAUUUACCGCACAUUUACAUUUAUUGAAAAGGGUGGUGCAGGUUUAUCGUCCACGCCUUUACUUUUAUUUAAAUGUAUGGAGCAGAAUUAAUGCCCAUACAAGCACCUUAACUUUAUGAAUUUAAUUUACCGCACAUUUACAUUUAUUUAAAGUGUGGUGCGGGUUUAUCGUCCAUACCAGUAAUUUAUUUAUCAGCAAUUUAUUUUAUGGAUUAAUUGUGCUGUAUGAUGAGUUUUUCCAGUAUGCAGAUCAGGACCAGAAGUUCCUUGAUCCUCAUCAUACAAUUACAUCAGGACUUGAAGAUCCUUGAUGAUGAUAUGAGAGCUGGCAGUCUCUCCGGUACUGUAUUUGUAAACAUGUGAUUGGACUUAAAGGUCCUUGAUCCCGACAUGUAAAUAAGGACCUAGAGUUCCUUAAUGAUGUAACAGUACCGUAUUGGUUCAUGGUGCCGUACACAUUGAUGAUAACUGUACUGGCAGAUGAAUAGAUAUGUAUUCAUGACUUGAUGAAUAGUACUAUUCACAUGAAUAGUGACGUAUGCAUAAAUAUUAACCAUUUUGGGU